RNAcentral lists this ribosomal RNA (114 nucleotides) under Streptococcus pneumoniae. The record is from RNAcentral. Lineage: Bacteria; Bacillati; Bacillota; Bacilli; Lactobacillales; Streptococcaceae.
AGUGACGAUAGCCUAGGAGAUACACCUGUACCAAUGCCGAACACAGAAGUUAAGCCCUAGAACGCCGGAAGUAGUUGGGGGUUGCCCCCUGUGAGAUAGGGAAGUCGCUUAGCU